CUUUACGACCACACCGGCCUGAGUACGCCUGAUCUCGUCUGAUCUGGAAGCUAAGCAGGGUCGGGCCUGGUUAGUACUUGGAUGGGAGACUUCCCUGGGAAUACCAGGUGCUGUAAGCU
Ribosomal RNA from Oncorhynchus tshawytscha (Chinook salmon), 119 nucleotides. Lineage: Eukaryota; Metazoa; Chordata; Actinopteri; Salmoniformes; Salmonidae. The record is from Ensembl.